RNAcentral lists this ribosomal RNA (515 nucleotides) under uncultured bacterium. RNAcentral's name for it is "partial 16S ribosomal RNA". It matches the Rfam family "Bacterial small subunit ribosomal RNA", at positions 28 to 523 of the family's 1533-position model. The record is from RNAcentral.
GAUGAACGCUGGCGGCGUGCCUAAUACAUGCAAGUCGAGCGAAUGGAUUAAGAGCUUGCUCUUAUGAAGUUAGCGGCGGACGGGUGAGUAACACGUGGGUAACCUGCCCAUAAGACUGGGAUAACUCCGGGAAACCGGGGCUAAUACCGGAUAACAUUUUGAACCGCAUGGUUCGAAAUUGAAAGGCGGCUUCGGCUGUCACUUAUGGAUGGACCCGCGUCGCAUUAGCUAGUUGGUGAGGUAACGGCUCACCAAGGCAACGAUGCGUAGCCGACCUGAGAGGGUGAUCGGCCACACUGGGACUGGGACACGGCCCAGACUCCUACGGGGGGCAGCAGUAGGGAAGCUUCCGCAAUGGACGAAAGUCUGACGGAGCAACGCCGCGUGAGUGAUGAAGGCUUUCGGGUCGUAAAACUCUGUUGUUAGGGAAGAACAAGUGCUAGUUGAAUAAGCUGGCACCUUGACGGUACCUAACCAGAAAGCCACGGCUAACUACGUGCCAGCCGCCGCGGUAA